UACGUAGGGAGCGAGCGUUGUCCGGAAUCAUUGGGCGUAAAGCGCGUGUAGGCGGCCCGGAAAGUCUGGUGUGAAAACUUGGGGCUCAACCCCAAGCUGUCACUGGAUACUGUCGGGCUUGAAUCCGGAAGAGGAGAGUGGAAUUCCUGGUGUAGCGGUGGAAUGCGCAGAUAUCAGGAGGAACACCAAUGGCGAAGGCAGCUCUCUGGUACGUGAUUGACGCUGAGACGCGAAAGCGUGGGGAGCAAACAGGAUUAGAUACCCUGGUAGUCCACGCCGUAAACGAUGGGCGCUAGGUGUGGGAGGUGUCGAUUCCUUCCGUGCCGAAGCUAACGCAUUAAGCGCCCCGCCUGGGGAGUACGGCCGCAAGGCUAAA
Molecule: ribosomal RNA, 376 nt
Filed under: uncultured bacterium
Lineage: Bacteria
Description: bacterial SSU rRNA
Rfam family: Bacterial small subunit ribosomal RNA
Source: RNAcentral